UGGGGAAUUUUGGACAAUGGGCGAAAGCCUGAUCCAGCAAUGCCGCGUGUGUGAAGAAGGCCUUCGGGUUGUAAAGCACUUUUGUCCGGAAAGAAAUCCUUGGCUCUAAUACAGUCGGGGGAUGACGGUACCGGAAGAAUAAGCACCGGCUAACUACGUGCCAGCAGCCGCGGUAAUACGUAGGGUGCAAGCGUUAAUCGGAAUUACUGGGCGUAAAGCGUGCGCAGGCGGUUUGCUAAGACCGAUGUGAAAUCCCCGGGCCCAACCUGGGAACUGCAUUGGUGACUGGCAGGCUAGAGUAUGGCAGAGGGGGGCUAGAAUUCCACGUGUAGCAGUGAAAGUGCGUAGAGAUGUGGAGGAAUACCGAUGGCGAAGGCAGCCCCCUGGGCCAAUACUGACGCUCAUGCACGAAAGCGUGGGGAGCAAACAGGAUUAGAUACCCUGGUA
This 447-nucleotide ribosomal RNA is filed under the name uncultured bacterium. Its description in RNAcentral is "partial 16S ribosomal RNA". It matches the Rfam family "Bacterial small subunit ribosomal RNA", at positions 355 to 792 of the family's 1533-position model. The record is from RNAcentral.